This 482-nucleotide ribosomal RNA is filed under the name uncultured bacterium. RNAcentral's name for it is "partial 16S ribosomal RNA". It matches the Rfam family "Bacterial small subunit ribosomal RNA", at positions 30 to 507 of the family's 1533-position model. The record is from RNAcentral.
AUUGAACGCUGGCGGCAUGCCUUACACAUGCAAGUCGAACGGUAACGGGCCUUCGGGUGCCGACGAGUGGCGAACGGGUGAGUAAUACAUCGGAACGUGCCCGAUCGUGGGGGAUAACGAGGCGAAAGCUUUGCUAAUACCGCAUACGAUCUACGGAUGAAAGCAGGGGACCGCAAGGCCUUGCGCGGACGGAGCGGCCGAUGGCAGAUUAGGUAGUUGGUGGGAUAAAAGCUUACCAAGCCGACGAUCUGUAGCUGGUCUGAGAGGAAGAUCAGCCACACUGGGACUGAGACACGGCCCAGACUCCUACGGGAGGCAGCAGUGGGGAAAUUUGGACAAUGGGCGCAAGCCUGAUCCAGCCAUGCCGCGUGCAGGAUGAAGGCCUUCGGGUUGUAAACUGCUUUUGUACGGAACGAAAAGCCUUCUUUUAAUACAGGAGGGUCAUGACGGUACCGUAAGAAUAAGCACCGGCUAACUACGUG